CGAACGCUGGCGGCAGACUUAACACAUGCAAGUCGAACGCUCGUCUUCGGACGGGAGUGGCAGACGGGUGAGUAACACGUGGGAACGUACCCUUUGGUUCGGAAUAACGCAGGGAAACUUGCGCUAAUACCGGAUACGCCCUUUUGGGGAAAGGUUUACUGCCGAAGGAUCGGCCCGCGUCUGAUUAGCUAGUUGGUGGGGUAACGGCCUACCAAGGCGACGAUCAGUAGCUGGUCUGAGAGGAUGAUCAGCCACACUGGGACUGAGACACGGCCCAGACUCC
Molecule: ribosomal RNA, 283 nt
Filed under: unidentified marine bacterioplankton
Lineage: Bacteria
Description: partial 16S ribosomal RNA
Rfam family: Bacterial small subunit ribosomal RNA
Source: RNAcentral